This 729-nucleotide ribosomal RNA is filed under the name Pseudolactococcus raffinolactis. RNAcentral's name for it is "bacterial SSU rRNA". It matches the Rfam family "Bacterial small subunit ribosomal RNA", at positions 49 to 753 of the family's 1533-position model. The record is from RNAcentral. Lineage: Bacteria; Bacillati; Bacillota; Bacilli; Lactobacillales; Streptococcaceae.
UAAUACAUGCAAGUUGAACGCUUGAUUUUCACCGAAGCUUGCUUCACCGAAAAUCAAGAGUAGCGAACGGGUGAGUAACGCGUGGGUAACCUACCUUUCAGCGGGGGAUAACUAUUGGAAACGAUAGCUAAUACCGCAUAACAAUGUUGGAUGCAUAUUCGACAUUUGAAAGUACCAACUGGUACACUGAGAGAUGGACCCGCGUUGUAUUAGCUAGUUGGUAGUGUAAUGGACUACCAAGGCGAUGAUACAUAGCCGACCUGAGAGGGUGAUCGGCCACAUUGGGACUGAGACACGGCCCAAACUCCUACGGGAGGCAGCAGUAGGGAAUCUUCGGCAAUGGACGAAAGUCUGACCGAGCAACGCCGCGUGAGUGAAGAAGGUUUUCGGAUCGUAAAACUCUGUUGUUAGAGAAGAACGUUGCAUAGAGUGGAAAAUUAUGCAAGUGACGGUAUCUAACCAGAAAGGGACGGCUAACUACGUGCCAGCAGCCGCGGUAAUACGUAGGUCCCGAGCGUUGUCCGGAUUUAUUGGGCGUAAAGCGAGCGCAGGUGGUUUAAUAAGUCUGAUGUAAAAGGCAGUGGCUCAACCAUUGUGUGCAUUGGAAACUGUUAGACUUGAGUGCAGUAGAGGAGAGUGGAAUUCCAUGUGUAGCGGUGAAAUGCGUAGAUAUAUGGAGGAACACCGGUGGCGAAAGCGGCUCUCUGGACUGUCACUGACACUGAGGCU